UACAGAGGGGGCAAGCGUUAUUCGGAAUUAUUGGGCGUAAAGGGCGCGUAGGCGGCUUUGCAAGUGACGGGUGAAAGCCCUCGGCUUAACCGAGGAACUGCCUGUCAGACUGUAAGGCUUGAGACCGGGAGAGGUGAGUGGAAUUCCCAGUGUAGCGGUGAAAUGCGUAGAUAUCUGGAGGAACACCGGUGGCGAAGGCGGCAUCCUGGACCAACAUUGACGCUGAGGAGCGAAAGCCAGGGGAGCAAACGGG
RNAcentral lists this ribosomal RNA (253 nucleotides) under uncultured bacterium. RNAcentral's name for it is "partial 16S ribosomal RNA". It matches the Rfam family "Bacterial small subunit ribosomal RNA", at positions 524 to 776 of the family's 1533-position model. The record is from RNAcentral.